Molecule: ribosomal RNA, 497 nt
Filed under: uncultured bacterium
Lineage: Bacteria
Description: partial 16S ribosomal RNA
Rfam family: Bacterial small subunit ribosomal RNA
Source: RNAcentral
GAUGGACGCUGGCGGCGUGCCUAAUACAUGCAAGUCGAGCGAAAAGACGCCGGGCUUCCUCCUUUGACGUUUGCGGAGGACGGGUGAAUAACACGUGGAUAAUCUACUUCUCAUCCUGGGAUACCUUCGGAACACCGGAGCUAAUACGGGAUAAUAUAUUGAACCAUGUGGUUCAGUAAUGAAAUUCGGUUUUGCUUUCACUUGUAGCUUGUUACGCGCGGGAUUAGCUAGUUGGUAAGGUAACGGCUUACCAAGGGGACGAGGCGUAGCCGAUCGGACCGGGUGGUCGGCCACACGGGAACUGGUACACGGUCCAUAGUACUACGGGAGGCAGCAGUAGGGUAUCUUCCGCAAUAGUCGGAAGCCUUACGGAGCAACGGCACGUGUGUUAUGGAGAUCUUGCGUUCGGAAAACUCGGUUAUGGGUUAAGAACAAAUGUGUAAGUAAAUGUGCACGACUUGACGGUACCUAAACAAAAAGCAACGGCUAACUACGUG